This 231-nucleotide unclassified non-coding RNA is filed under the name plant metagenome. RNAcentral describes it as "partial contains small subunit ribosomal RNA, internal transcribed spacer 1, and 5.8S ribosomal RNA". The record is from RNAcentral.
UCUCCGUUGGUGAACCAGCGGAGGGAUCAUUACAGAGUUGCAAAACUCCCAAACCCUUGUGAACGUUACCUAUCCCGCUGGUUCGGCGGGCGGCCCGGGCCCCGCGCCCGGCGCCCCCCGGCCCCCCGUGGGCGCCCGCCGGAGCUAAACCAAACCCUUGAAUUGCAUGGCCUCUCUGAGUCUUCUGUACUGAAUAAGUCAAAACUUUCAACAACGGAUCUCUUGGUUCUG